AGUGGGCGUGUACCUCUCCAGGUGCUAAGUGGUGUUUAGUGGGCGUGUACCUCUCCAGGUGCUAAGUGGUGUUUAGUGGGCGUGUACAGGUGCUAAGUGGUGUUUAGUGGGCGUGUACCUCUCCAGGUGCUAAGUGGUGUUUAGUGGGCGUAUAUAACUCCAGGUGCUAAGUGGUGUUUAGUGGGCGUGUACCUCUCCAGGUGCUAAGUGGUGUUUAGUGGGCGUAUAUAACUCCAGGUGCUAAGUGGUGUUUAGUGGGCGUGUACCUCUCCAGGUGCUAAGUGGUGUUUAGUGGGCGUGUACCUCUCCAGGUGCAUAUUGUCACUUCUCAGCACGUUCCUGCCGCGUCACAGAG
Molecule: long non-coding RNA, 355 nt
Organism: Oncorhynchus tshawytscha (Chinook salmon)
Lineage: Eukaryota; Metazoa; Chordata; Actinopteri; Salmoniformes; Salmonidae
Source: Ensembl